CCAGACUCCUACGGGAGGCAGCAGUAGGGAAUUUUCGGCAAUGGGGGGAACCCUGACCGAGCAACGCCGCGUGAAGGAAGAAGGAAUUCGUUCUGUAAACUUCUGUUAUAAAGGAAGAAAGACGGAUGGAGGAAAUGACAUCCGAGUGACGGUACUUUAUGAGAAAGCCACGGCUAACUACGUGCCAGCAGCCGCGGUAAUACGUAGGUGGCAAGCGUUAUCCGGAAUUAUUGGGCGUAAAGAGGGAGCAGGCGGCAGCAAAGGUCUGUGGUGAAAGACUGAAGCUUAACUUCAGUAAGCCAUAGAAACCGGGCAGCUAGAGUGCAGGAGAGGAUCGUGGAAUUCCAUGUGUAGCGGUGAAAUGCGUAGAUAUAUGGAGGAACACCAGUGGCGAAGGCGACGAUCUGGCCUGCAACUGACGCUCAGUCCCGAAAGCGUGGGGAGCAAAUAGGAUUAGAUACCCCUGUA
Molecule: ribosomal RNA, 468 nt
Filed under: uncultured bacterium
Lineage: Bacteria
Description: partial 16S ribosomal RNA
Rfam family: Bacterial small subunit ribosomal RNA
Source: RNAcentral